Myotis brandtii (Brandt's bat) is the source of this 73-nucleotide non-coding RNA. NCBI's taxonomy places the organism in Eukaryota, Metazoa, Chordata, Mammalia, Chiroptera, Vespertilionidae. The record is from Rfam.
GCCCAUUUUGCUCAGUGGGUAGAGCAUUGGCUUGCUAACUGAAGGGUCACAGGUUCAAUUCCGGUCAAGGGCA